RNAcentral lists this ribosomal RNA (735 nucleotides) under uncultured eukaryote. RNAcentral describes it as "SSU rRNA". It matches the Rfam family "Eukaryotic small subunit ribosomal RNA", at positions 671 to 1426 of the family's 1831-position model. The record is from RNAcentral.
GGUGUUUACUGUCGAACUGAGCACUCUACCGUUUACUGUCUGGUGGUGCUCUUCACCGAGUGUCACCAGUGGUCGGUACGUUUACUUUGAAAAAAUUAGAGUGCUCAAAGCGGUUUUUACACGACCGAAUACUGUUGCAUGGAAUAAUGAAAUAGGACUUUGGUUCUAUUUUGUUGGUCUUCGGAACCAAGGUAAUGAUUAAGAGGGACAGACGGGGGCAUUAGUAUUGCGACGCUAGAGGUGAAAUUCUUGGACCGUCGCAAGACUAACUAAAGCGAAAGCAUUUGCCAAGAAUGUUUUCAUUAAUCAAGAACGAAAGUUAGAGGUUCGAAGGCGAUCAGAUACCGCCCUAGUUCUAACCAUAAACGAUGCCAACCAGCAAUCAGCCUGUGUUCUCUUGAUGACACGGCUGGCGGCUUCCGGGAAACCAAAGUCUUUCGGUUCCAGGGGAAGUAUGGUUGCAAAGCUGAAACUUAAAGGAAUUGACGGAAGGGCACCACCAGGAGUGGAGCCUGCGGCUUAAUUUGACUCAACACGGGGAAACUCACCCGGCCCGGACACUGUGAGGAUUGACAGGUUGAAGCCCUUUCUUGAUUCAGUGGGUGGUGGUGCAUGGCCGUUCUUAGUUGGUGGAGUGAUUUGUCUGGUUAAUUCCGAUAACGAACGAGACUCUAGCCUACUAAUUAGACCGUGGCGUCCUCGUGCCGCCACGGCGCUUCCUAGAGGGACAGACGG